CUCUCUCUCUCUCUCUCUCUCUGUCUCUCUGUCUCCUCUCCUGCUGUCUGAACGCAGCUUGCAAGAGAAAAAAAGAACCGUUCUCGCAGACUAUCGACGCGACGACAGACGGUGGUACCGGUCGCCGCACGCGCUUCCCGCGAUCGAUUCGCGUUAGCCCUUUCUUCCGGAUCCUCUUGGAUCCCUUCUGGCCGUCCCUCCUGGCCCUCCUGGCUGCUCUUCGUCCGGAGUUACUCACGCAUCCGCCCCCGCUGUCCACGGAGGGCGCCGGCCGAGGAUGAUGUGGAGGAUGUGAGCGACGCGACCCGGAGCGAAGCGUCCUGGUCCGCCGGCGCGAUGAAAUGGUGACGAAUUUCAGUAUCGAACAUCUGGCCGCACGUCCUGAGGGACACAUAGAUCAGAAGUAAGGAUGGCCUUUCAUUGGGAUAAGCUCUCCCCAGCUGAAUUCCAACAACUCCAAGACUUCGCAGCUUAUUCCACCCGGAAACUCCAGGAUGUUCUGGCCGAAUUCUGCGGGAGCAACACGACACCGGCUGGCGUGCCGAAAUAUCAUCCAGACGGAGACAUCGAUUACGAGGGCUUCCGCAAGUUUCUCAACUCGUAUCUGGAGAUCGACACGCCCGAUGACCUGUGCCGGCACCUCUUCCUCUCGUUCGUCAGGAAGUCCUCGCGCGGGGUGGACAGCAAGGCUUUCAAGGAGAUGGCCGCGCUCUCCUCGACAACCGCCUGCGCCGCAAUUACAUCGCACACGACUUCCAGCAGUAACGUUAAUAGCACCGGCGGCGCCGCCGCCGCCGCCGCCGCCGAGAGCUACAGCGGUGGUGGGUCCUCGUUGGCCGACAAAAUUCACGGGAUUACGGAAAAAUUGCAAGCGCUCAGCCACCACAGAUCGGAGAGCGAAGCCUCCAGGACGCGAGCAGGAAGCGUGCAUCCGAUGUUAACAGUCACCCACACGUCGUACAGCUACCACGACGUGAUGGAGAAGAAGAGCACAGACACCAGCCCGAGCCACAGUCAAAUGUCGCGAAAUUCAUCCAGGAAGUCGAACAAUUCUCUCCUCGUCAAUAACGGGAAAUUGGAAGAGAUGAGACACCUCGUCAGAAAGCAGAGCACGAUAGAUGUCCACUCCGUUAAAGUCAGCCUGAAAGAUAUCGUCUGUUACUUGUCCCUACUGGAGGCCGGCAGACCGGAAGACAAACUCGAAUUCAUGUUCCGGCUAUACGACACGGAUGGGAACGGCGUCCUUGAUACAAACGAGAUGGACUGCAUCGUGAAUCAGAUGAUGAAUGUCGCGGAGUAUCUCGGCUGGGACGUUACGGAAUUGAAGCCGAUCCUGCAGGACAUGAUGCUGGAGAUCGAUUACGACGCGGACGGUACGGUCUCGUUGGAGGAGUGGAAGAGAGGCGGCCUCACGACAAUCCCCCUGUUGGUUCUUUUGGGUCUGGAUUCCCACGUGAAGGAGGAUGGCAACCAUCUGUGGAGGUUGAAGCACUUCAGUAAACCCGCGUACUGCAACCUCUGUCUGAACAUGUUGGUCGGCCUCGGCAAGAAAGGGCUUUGUUGCGUUUUUUGCAAGUACACGGUGCACGAGAGGUGCGUGCAGAGAGCGCCGCCCUCCUGCAUAGCGACUUACGUGAAGAGCAAGAAAACGUCCCAGACGAUGGUUCAUCACUGGGUCGAAGGUAAUUGCCACGGGAAAUGUUCCAAGUGCAGAAAGACGAUCAAGAGUUACAACGGCAUCACCGGCCUGCAUUGCAGAUGGUGCCAGAUCACCCUACAUAAUAGAUGCGUGUCGCAAGUACGAGCGGAAUGUACACUCGGCGAGCAUGCGCUUCAUAUCCUUCCACCUACGGCGAUUUGCCCCGUUGUUCUGGACAGACAGAGAUCGUUCUCAAAGGACAAACGAGGUAGCAAGUACGGCCAGGACUCCUCGUCCGUUAGUUCCAGUGGUUACCUGCCGUGUGGCAGCUCGUCAAGUCCGCAACCAGCGAUGUCCUUCCAAAUCACACCGCCGUCCGGCACGAUGCCGCUCUUGGUAUUCAUAAAUCCGAAGUCGGGCGGCCGACAAGGCGAGCGGAUGUUGCGAAAAUUUCAAUAUAUCCUGAACCCCCGGCAGGUUCAUAAUCUAGCGAUCGGCGGACCCAUGCAGGGCCUGCAGAUGUUCAAGGACGUGGAGAACUUCAAGGUGAUUUGUUGCGGUGGCGACGGCACGGUCGGCUGGGUCUUGGAAACCAUGGAUCGUGUGCAAUUCGAGCACCAACCUGCCGUAGGCGUUAUUCCUCUCGGUACAGGCAACGACCUUGCCAGGUGCUUACGUUGGGGAGGUGGCUACGAAGGGGAAGCGGUGCACAAGGUUCUUAAGAAAAUAGAGAAGGCAACGCCGGUAAUGAUGGAUCGUUGGCAAAUAGAGGUUCUAGAUCAAAAGGACGAGAAGAAACCAAAUCAAGACAGUAUACCGUACAAUAUCAUUAAUAAUUACUUCUCGGUGGGCGUGGACGCCGCCAUUUGCGUGAAGUUUCACAUGGAAAGGGAGAAGAAUCCCGAGAAGUUCAACAGCAGAAUGAAAAAUAAGCUGUGGUAUUUCGAGUACGCCACCACAGAGCAAUUCGCCGCGAGUUGUAAAAAUCUUCACGAGGAUCUCGAGAUAAUCUGCGACGGUACGCCUUUGGACCUGGCGCACGGGCCAUCUCUGCAAGGGGUCGCAUUAUUAAACAUUCCUUUCACUCAUGGGGGCUCGAACCUCUGGGGUGAACAUCACACACGUUAUCGUCUCGGUAAACGAAAAAAGCGACCUGACAAGGAACUUAGUACGAGUAGCUUCAAUUCCGUGGACCUCACAGCCGCUAUUCAGGACAUCGGCGACAAUCUCAUAGAAGUAAUCGGCUUGGAGAACUGCUUACACAUGGGUCAAGUGAAGACCGGCCUUCGGCAUUCCGGCAGGAGGCUCGCCCAAUGCAGCAGCAUCACCAUAAUCACGAGUAAACGAUUCCCCAUGCAGAUCGACGGGGAACCUUGGAUGCAAGGCCCUUGCACGAUUCGCAUCACACACAAGAAUCAAGUACCAAUGCUGAUGGCACCACCGCCGGAUAAGGGCAAGGGCUUCUUUCGGUUCUUAAAGAGGUAAACUGAAACGGCAGUUUUACGCUUUCACAAGAGGAGGAUGGAUACUAUAUUAGGGCUGCGAGGCGAGAUAGAACUCCGUUCGCGAAUUCGCACUUGAGGUAUCCUGUUUGCAAAGACGUCGUCUUUCCAGUUAAGGGUCAAAUCACUUCGCGCAAGCACCGGUCGCACAGCGGGCGCUUCCGUGUGUUUCGACUUUUGAGUCUGCCGCUUCUUACGCGCACAGUGUCGACUAACACAUGUAUAUCCUACACGCGACAAACAGUCACGCUGACACGGCGAAUUGUGCGGCGUCGUGCAAACGAGAGAAAGAGAGUGGAGUUGUGACGGCCGACUUCGACUAUAUCGUUAGUGGAUGUGUAUGUGUGAAUUCUCUUCGAGAUCUAUCGCCGAACUAUUACACUCUUAGCGUAGAAAGGACGAGCGAAGACGGGUGGUGGUCCGGACUGGUCGAUAUAUGUUUGUGUGAUAACGUGAUAUAUUCCUAAUUCUGGUUCUCCUUUGCACGAGUCCGUCCGUCAAUCACGAGUCACAUAUUUUCCUCUCUUAAUUCUAGGUUUUUUGUACCAAAGAGAAAAAGGAAAAAGAGAGAAAAGAAACGGAAGCUUAGUUGUAUAAAGCGCGCUUAGAUCUAUAACACAAUCGCGACUUAUUUAUCUCUUAUUUAUUCGACGAUGUGUAUUUAUUUAUUUAUUUAUUCUUCUCGUAUAUUUUGUAAGUCAGAGCAAUAUAUCAGAGGCAUAUCAGCGAGAGCGAGUGCGAUUGCGUGGCGCGUUGUAACAUUCAGUUGUUGAUACUUGCGAGAUCGUGAGUCGUGUAGUAUCGCUGAAGAAGCGUCACGGCUUCGUCCCGCGCAAUGUAUAACCGUCGACAUUGAAUAUGUAAUUUGCGUCUUCACGCUGUGUUUAUUACAUUCGGUGAUUGCGAUUGUUACUUUCUUUUUUCCUAUUUCUUUUUUUUUUUUUAACGUACAUUCACACACUUUGAGUACCUGCAUUUCGUGUUGACGAACAAUCACAGCUAGCUAACUAACUACAUAUAAUUGUGACUCUGUCUCUCCCUCUAACUUUCUUGUGAAUCCAUCGACAUGUUCUUCUCUUGUAUUAAACGUAUAUACAAAUGGCUGUAUUCUACACACUGCUGUGAUGGCCCUACGCUGAUUUACAUAACGCAUGCUUCGGAGGAAACGCUUCCUUUCUUUCUCGGCGAUCGUUGGCAUUCCCUGACUUAAACUUUAUACGUGAACGAAACGUCGAUCGUAUCCGCAUCGUUUCUCAGGAUUUUCCGCGAACACUAACACACGAUGAAGUAGCCCGCGUAGCCGUUAAGAGAAAACGUAUACGUCGUCCAUUGUAUCGUAUUGAAUUCUAUUUCCGAGCACUCGUUAGACUCACAUUUCGUUGAUACGCGGUCGAUGAAUGAACCGAGAUAUCAAUUUCCAAUCGAACUAUAGUAGAGAUGAAAAACUUUAUGCUUUUGUAUAAUUAAUAUAUACGCAGCCGAGGAAAAGUAUAAUAUAUUACGAAUACAAUUUAAAAUCCCGCAGGGACCAUCUCGAGAUAUAACGCAUCUAACGAUAAAGAUGAAAUCUUAAAUUUUUCAUAUCUCCGUGACACAGACCGAUAAUCUUUUAUCCUUUUGAAUCGUCAUUUUAGCGACACGUCGCGGCUGCACGUUUCAUUGCCGCGCAAAAUAGAUGGAUGAGCGCGACGCGACGCGAUAGUUGAUUGAUUUUAGAGAGAGAAAGAAAAAGAAUGAAAAAUAUUAUAAGUGGGAUUUAGCAUAGUUUACGCGAUAUUUAUGAUAAUUCAGGAUACAACAUUACCUCCACCGGAUAGACGGUUUAGCUUGUCUUUCUCUCUCUCUCUCUCUCUCUCUCUCUC
RNAcentral lists this unclassified non-coding RNA (5003 nucleotides) under Harpegnathos saltator (Jerdon's jumping ant). RNAcentral describes it as "diacylglycerol kinase 1, transcript variant X3". The record is from RNAcentral. Lineage: Eukaryota; Metazoa; Arthropoda; Insecta; Hymenoptera; Formicidae.